GACGAACGCUGGCGGCGUGCUUAACACAUGCAAGUCGAACGGAAAGGCCCUGCUUUUGUGGGGUGCUCGAGUGGCGAACGGGUGAGUAACACGUGAGUAACCUGCCCUUGACUUUGGGAUAACUUCAGGAAACUGGGGCUAAUACCGGAUAGGAGCUCCUGCUGCAUGGUGGGGGUUGGAAAGUUUCGGCGGUUGGGGAUGGACUCGCGGCUUAUCAGCUUGUUGGUGGGGUAGUGGCUUACCAAGGCUUUGACGGGUAGCCGGCCUGAGAGGGUGACCGGCCAAAUUGGGACUGAGAUACGGCCCGGACUCCUACGGGAGGCAGCAGUGGGGAAUAUUGCACAAUGGGCGGAAGCCUGAUGCAGCAACGCCGCGUGCGGGAUGACGGCCUUCGGGUUGUAAACCGCUUUCGCCUGUGACGAAGCGUGAGUGACGGUAAUGGGUAAAGAAGCACCGGCUAACUACGUG
This 468-nucleotide ribosomal RNA is filed under the name uncultured bacterium. Its description in RNAcentral is "partial 16S ribosomal RNA". It matches the Rfam family "Bacterial small subunit ribosomal RNA", at positions 28 to 507 of the family's 1533-position model. The record is from RNAcentral.